UCUGUUGCUGAAAUAGUGAUUGCAACUGAUUUUGGAUACCCAAAGGUAAGCCCAAAAAAAAAAAAGCAUGCGAGUCCUAUUAACAUGAAAUACGACAACAAGGCACUGAUUUAAAAAUCCAAACACACUAACAAGACUCAUAGUCUCCCAGACAUUCAACACAAAAACAGAUCUACACAUAGAAUUUGAAAUUCGACCAAAAAAAAAAUCAAAAACUCAUCAACCAAUCUAUGCAAAGAGUACCACUGCCAAAGGAAGAACAAGAAGAACAACCCAUAAGCGUGCAAGAGAGAAUCCUCAAAAAGCCUUUCCAUUAAAAAGCAACAAUCCACAGACGAAGAACGACGGAAACACUAAAAAAAAGAUGUAAUCAAUGACGGUGGACGCCACUGAAACAGAGCCAAGGAGAACGCCAGAAACUUGAAAUGAAAGGAAGUGAAUGUGAUGGGGGCAACAGGGGCGGGGCGGCGGCGCAGAGAAAGGGACCAAACAAGGGUCAGGGGCUCAGAGCACUGAACUUUCCCUGCGAAAGAGAGUGGGCUGGGCUUUAAACAUGGGUUGGACUGAAGGAGACCCCUAGGAAAGAAAUUACAUGCAGACUAAAUGACAGAACCAUGAUGAGUGAGAGCAUAAACCUACUUCUCCCUCCUCCUCCUCCUCCAACUCCUCUGCUUCCUCCUCCACCUCCUCCGCCUCCUCCACCACCCCCACCACCAGCACCAAUGACCUCAUACUGUACUCCUCCGCCACCUCCACCGCCAAGGUUCAUUUAUGUGACUGGUGUGCCGGGGAAUUUGUAUGUAGCUGAUCCUUACGAUACUUGGAAUUUUUACAGCGCUGCUAGACAGAAUGUUGGCACACGGUUGCUGCUUCUGGCUGGGUUUGGAGCUCUACACUUUUUGAUAAUUUGACGAUCACUUCAUAUUAAUUUGGGGUUAGGCCAUAUUUCUCUCUCUUAAUUAGGUUUUGUUCUUGGUUUAAUUAGAUCAUACUAUUUAAUAUCAACAGAAUUUUCUUCCAUUUAAAUGCUUAUAUAUCAUAUUGGUGGUAUAUGUAUCAAGGCAUGUUUUAUGUAGAUUUAUAUCAAGGAGGUAAACUAUAUAUUUUAGUUUUUUACUUUCUUCAAUAUUAAUUAGAUCCACCACUUAAUUUGUG
RNAcentral lists this unclassified non-coding RNA (1155 nucleotides) under Hevea brasiliensis (rubber tree). Lineage: Eukaryota; Viridiplantae; Streptophyta; Magnoliopsida; Malpighiales; Euphorbiaceae. The record is from RNAcentral.